GUUUGCAUCGUCCAACAGCGUCAUUCUCCUUGCCUGAACGACGUGUGAGCAGCCAGCAGGCAGUCUUCUGGCUACUGCUGCGAGUCGUCCGGCGAUCUCCAAGAGUUUGCUAGUUGUGCGACGGCUGCCCUACUUCGGGCUUGAGAUAACAACGAAGAUGGAACGCAUGUAGGCCACCACUGUCAUUGUUGAAGCCACCCAUGACUGGAGUGACGUAGGGAAACAGUUCAGGAUGUCCUCGUUGGGGCGGCGGCGCUGGAGCUACCGGUUUUCUGAU
This 277-nucleotide unclassified non-coding RNA is filed under the name Hevea brasiliensis (rubber tree). The record is from RNAcentral. Lineage: Eukaryota; Viridiplantae; Streptophyta; Magnoliopsida; Malpighiales; Euphorbiaceae.